RNAcentral lists this ribosomal RNA (1346 nucleotides) under human oral metagenome. Its description in RNAcentral is "bacterial SSU rRNA". It matches the Rfam family "Bacterial small subunit ribosomal RNA". The record is from RNAcentral.
AGAGUUUGAUCCUGGCUCAGGACGAACGCUGGCGGCGUGCUUAACACAUGCAAGUCGAACGAGAGCGUAGAGAAAGCUUGCUUUUUCUACAAUCUAGUGGCAAACGGGUGAGUAACGCGUAAACAACCUGCCCUACGGAUGGGGACAACAGCUGGAAACGGCUGCUAAUACCGAAUACGUUCCGAAAGUCGCAUGACUGUCGGAAGAAAGGAUGGCCUCUAUUUAUAAGCUAUCGCCGGAGGAGGGGUUUGCGUCUGAUUAGCUAGUUGGAGGGGUAACGGCCCACCAAGGCGACGAUCAGUAGCCGGUCUGAGAGGAUGAACGGCCACAUUGGAACUGAGACACGGUCCAGACUCCUACGGGAGGCAGCAGUGGGGAAUCUUCCGCAAUGGGCGAAAGCCUGACGGAGCAACGCCGCGUGAGUGAAGACGGCCUUCGGGUUGUAAAGCUCUGUUAUACGGGACGAAUAAUCUUGUGGUUAAUACCCAUGAGAAGUGACGGUACCGUAAGAGAAAGCCACGGCUAACUACGUGCCAGCAGCCGCGGUAAUACGUAGGUGGCAAGCGUUGUCCGGAAUUAUUGGGCGUAAAGGGCGCGCAGGCGGCUUCCCGGUAGUCCUGGCCGUAAACGAUGGGUACUAGGUGUAGGAGGUAUCGACCCCUUCUGUGCCGGAGUUAACGCAAUAAGUACCCCGCCUGGGGAGUACGGCCGCAAGGUUGAAACUCAAAGGAAUUGACGGGGGCCCGCACAAGCGGUGGAGUAUGUGGUUUAAUUCGACGCAACGCGAAGAACCUUACCAAGCCUUGACAUUGAUCGCAAGGAGUAGAGAUACUCUGUUCUUCUUCGGAAGACGAGAAAACAGGUGGUGCACGGCUGUCGUCAGCUCGUGUCGUGAGAUGUUGGGUUAAGUCCCGCAACGAGCGCAACCCCUAUCUUCUGUUACCAGCACGUAAGGGUGGGGACUCAGGAGAGACUGCCGCAGACAAUGCGGAGGAAGGCGGGGAUGACGUCAAGUCAUCAUGCCCCUUAUGGCUUGGGCUACACACGUACUACAAUGGCUCUUAAUAGAGGGAAGCGAAGGAGCGAUCCGGAGCAAACCCCAAAAACAGAGUCUCAGUUCGGAUUGUAGGCUGCAACUCGCCUACAUGAAGCAGGAAUCGCUAGUAAUCGCAGGUCAGCAUACUGCGGUGAAUACGUUCCCGGGCCUUGUACACACCGCCCGUCACACCACGAAAGUCAUUCACACCCGAAGCCGGUGAGGUAACCGCAAGGAGCCAGCCGUCGAAGGUGGGGGCGAUGAUUGGGGUGAAGUCGUAACAAGGUAGCCGUAUCGGAAGGUGCGGCUG